UAAAACUCUCAGCUUUACUAUUAAUCAUUACUAUCCAUUGUCUUUUACAUGAGGCAAGCAAAGAAUAGUUUUUCAUAAACAAGACGUAAAGAUAAAUCUAAUGUAAAUAUAAGAUCUCAGUUUUUAAGGUAAAAAUCAAAGUGAAGGGGAAAACCUAAUGAAAUUUACUUUAAAGUUUGUAUGAGCCUAUGUGACCAAGCAAAAUAAAAACAUGCAGGAGUCACCCAAUGUCUCCUCGUUGGUUUGUAUAAUCAAGAAUAUAAUAUUCAGCAUUAAUCCUUGGUAGCUGUAAGAAAAUCAUUCUCUGCAUGACAGGUAUCCCUCAAGUGCUGAUCUUGACACAUAUUGAUGAGUGCUGUCCACUGGUUGAGCAAAACUUGAGAAAAGUCUACUUCAGCAAGAAAAUUAAGGAAAAGAUGUACGAAUGCCGUGACGGAGUGGGAAUCCCGAUGAACUGCAUCUUUCCUGUGAAGAACUACCAUGAAGAGUCAGACACCAAUAAUGACACUGACGUCCUGGUCCUGUUGGCCCUGAGGAAAAUCCUCAACUCUGCUAAUGAUUAUGUGAGAGAGCUGUAACUCUCGCCCCUCUUUCAGCUUGUAGACUGGUCCAAAUAAAAGCUGAACAAUACUAUAUGUUUAGUAAAUCAUGUAACCUUAGAAAUGCUUAGUUGAAUUUGAAAAAUGCGCUCGUCCUGAAAUAUAAAUAAACAUGAUUUCCUGUUAAACCUGUUACAAAUUAAAAUAAAAUAUGCAUGUUUGUCCUCGAUAAAUGUGUGUGUGUGUCUAUGAUCAGUGUUUUGUGUUGUGUUCAAGUGCUGCUGCUUUACUUCCAGGCUCCUGCAAUACCCUCUCCCACCAUCUGCAGGUACGCUCACCUCGCUGGUAUACAGGGCAACACCAGAGGAAACAUUAGCACAUUCGUUUGUGAUUUGUUCUUUCGAUUUUGUGUGUGUGUGUGUGUGUGUGUGUGUGUGUGUGUGUGUGUGACCCUCAGCUUGUUUAUGAUUUUUUAGAUGAGCUUUGGCUUUAAGUCUCUCUUAUUAUUUUUUAAUUAUCAUUUUUCUGCAAGUGUGCGUUUUGUUUUAAACCCUGUUUCUUGGACAUACAGAUGAAAGAUUAAUUUUAAAGAAGGAAAUCAACUUAAAUAUGCUGAAAUAUUUUGUAAACACAGUAUGGUUCAUCAGCCACGUAUUAGUCAUUCAAAAAUACAUGUUUACGUAUGUAUAUUGCAUUUUUGGAGAUUUAUUCCCACAAGCUUCAGAUUAAGCUGGCUCCAACUUAAUCUAACU
Ictalurus furcatus (blue catfish) is the source of this 1291-nucleotide RNA transcript. It is a transcript of the gene named interferon-induced protein 44-like, with no coding region annotated. The transcript is spliced from 2 exons. Lineage: Eukaryota; Metazoa; Chordata; Actinopteri; Siluriformes; Ictaluridae. The record is from RefSeq and is a predicted model, not a curated record.